GAACGGAAGUGCGGGUUGAAGCUGGUAGGAUGGCUGGACAGGUAAAUCCGUCUGGUUAGAUCCGAGAAGCGAGUACGAGCCCUCUUUUGGGCGAAGUCACUGAUUCCAGGCUGCCAAGAAAACCCUCUAAGCUUCAGGCACGGGACGACCGUACCGUAAACCGACACAGGUAGACGGGAAGAGAAUUCCAAGGCGCGUGAGUGAUCCCUCGUGAAGGAACUCGGCAAAUUAGCACCGUAACUUCGGAAGAAGGUGUGCUGGUUGUCGUUAGCUUCCUCGCGAAGUGAAGCGACAGCUAGUCGCAGUGAAAUGCCCCAAGCGACUGUUUAUCAAAAACACAGGGCUCUGCUAAGUCGAAAACGACGUAUAGGGUCUGACUCCUGCCCGGUGCCGGAAGGUUAAGGGGAGCGGUUAGCCGCAAGGCGAAGCUGCGAACCGAAGCCCCGGUAAACGGCGGCCGUAACUAUAACGGUCCUAAGGUAGCGAAAUUCCUUGUCGGGUAAGUUCCGACCUGCACGAAUGGAGUAACGAUUUGGGGAUUGUCUCCACGAGGGGCUCAGCGAAUCUGUAGCGCUGGUGAAGAUGCCAGCUACCCGCAACUAGACGGAAAGACCCUGUGCACCUUUACUGCACCCUGGCAGUGAACUUUGGUGCUGUAUGUGUAGGAUAGGUGGGACUCUUUGAAGCCGGGCCGCUAGGUUCGGUGGAGAGGCCGGUGAAAUACCACCCUUACAGUACCGAAGUUCUAACCGAGGUCCCUGAUCGGGAUCCGGAACAUUGCCAGGCGGGCAGUUUGACUGGGGCGGUCGCCUCCCAAAGUGUAACGGAGGCUCG
Molecule: unclassified non-coding RNA, 834 nt
Filed under: uncultured fungus
Lineage: Eukaryota; Fungi
Description: sequence contains 18S rRNA gene, ITS1, 5.8S rRNA gene, ITS2, 28S rRNA gene
Rfam family: Bacterial large subunit ribosomal RNA
Source: RNAcentral